Molecule: ribosomal RNA, 304 nt
Filed under: uncultured bacterium
Lineage: Bacteria
Description: partial 16S ribosomal RNA
Rfam family: Bacterial small subunit ribosomal RNA
Source: RNAcentral
CAGCAGCCGCCGCGGUAAAACGUAGGGUGCGAGCGUUAAUCGGAAUUACUGGGCGUAAAGCGUGCGCAGGCGGUUCGUUAAGACAGAUGUGAAAUCCCCGGGCUUAACCUGGGAACUGCAUUUGUGACUGGCGAGCUAGAGUAUGGCAGAGGGGGGUAGAAUUCCACGUGUAGCAGUGAAAUGCGUAGAGAUGUGGAGGAAUACCGAUGGCGAAGGCAGCCCCCUGGGCCAAUACUGACGCUCAUGCACGAAAGCGUGGGGAGCAAACAGGAUUAGAUACCCCUGUAGUCCCUGUCUCUUAUAA